GGCAAGUGCGGGUGCUAUACAUGCAAGUCGAGCGGACAGAUGGGAGCUUGCUCCCUGAUGUUAGCGGCGGACGGGUGAGUAACACGUGGGUAACCUGCCUGUAAGACUGGGAUAACUCCGGGAAACCGGGGCUAAUACCGGAUGGUUGUCUGAACCGCAUGGUUCAGACAUAAAAGGUGGCUUCGGCUACCACUUACAGAUGGACCCGCGGCGCAUUAGCUAGUUGGUGAGGUAACGGCUCACCAAGGCGACGAUGCGUAGCCGACCUGAGAGGGUGAUCGGCCACACUGGGACUGAGACACGGCCCAGACUCCUACGGGAGGCAGCAGUAGGGAAUCUUCCGCAAUGGACGAAAGUCUGACGGAGCAACGCCGCGUGAGUGAUGAAGGUUUUCGGAUCGUAAAGCUCUGUUGUUAGGGAAGAACAAGUGCCGUUCAAAUAGGGCGGCACCUUGACGGUACCUAACCAGAAAGCCACGGCUAACUACGUGCCAGCAGCCGCGGUAAUACGUAGGUGGCAAGCGUUGUCCGGAAUUAUUGGGCGUAAAGGGCUCGCAGGCGGUUUCUUAAGUCUGAUGUGAAAGCCCCCGGCUCAACCGGGGAGGGUCAUUGGAAACUGGGGAACUUGAGUGCAGAAGAGGAGAGUGGAAUUCCACGUGUAGCGGUGAAAUGCGUAGAGAUGUGGAGGAACACCAGUGGCGAAGGCGACUCUCUGGUCUGUAACUGACGCUGAGGAGCGAAAGCGUGGGGAGCGAACAGGAUUAGAUACCCUGGUAGUCCACGCCGUAAACGAUGAGUGCU
RNAcentral lists this ribosomal RNA (800 nucleotides) under Bacillus velezensis. RNAcentral describes it as "bacterial SSU rRNA". It matches the Rfam family "Bacterial small subunit ribosomal RNA", at positions 34 to 817 of the family's 1533-position model. Lineage: Bacteria; Bacillati; Bacillota; Bacilli; Caryophanales; Bacillaceae. The record is from RNAcentral.